AUGCUCAGGUCAGGGAGGGAAUGAGACCCCUGGGGAAGGGACUCCUCCCAGCUGAGGAGUUGAUUAGAAGCAAUCUUGGAGUUGGCAGGAGCCUUAGAGACUGCCUGAGCCAGUCCGGGAAGCUGGCUGAGGAGCUUGGGAGCAAGAGACUAAAACCAGCCAAGUUUGGGACAGAAGGGAAGGAAAGGGUUGAGCAGCGAACAGAGAGACAAAGAACAGGCAGUUCCAAAGAGCCAAGAAUGCAAAUCAUUUGCAGACGCCGCUGGCGAGAGCCUCCACCAAGGCUGCUGUGGGGGUGCCUGAUGCCACGAGCACAGCCACUUCUACACGUCACGCCUCCGCAGUCCUCUCUGCUUGAACUGUGGCUCCUGCAGAGAAAGCAUCAGAAUCUCCGGGGAACUGAUUGGAAAUGCACAUUCUCCAGCCCCGCCCAGAACUCCUGAAUUAGAAACCCUGGGGUGGGACAAGCAAGCCGUGCUUUCUGGGGCACAGGUGAUUCUGGUGUGUGCUGAAGUUUAAGAACCACUGGCCGAGAACAUUCUUAGGUCUGCUCUUCUUUUGCCCGGCCCCUCCCUCGCGGAGGAAUUCCUUCUUAUUCCUCUCUGAAGAGUGGCUGCUGCCAAAAAACGUUUGUGAGAUGGCCUGGGUUUUCUUUGUUGAUUUAUCAUUUAGUUUGGAAGAAAUCAGAAGUCUCUUUAAGAAGCCAAUUUGAAACAUUCACCCCAUGGGAACAGUUCUGGAUGAAGUCAGAAGAUCUGGAGGCAGCGCAGUAACACACGUAGGUUUUCUGGCCAUAUGGACAUUUCAGAGAAAACAACGCACAGAGGCCUGGAGCAGGUGAACUGGCUUAAGUAGAGAGAAACUAAGUCAUUUGGGGAUAUUUAGCACCUAAUGUCAAGGCAGAAAUGUCUAAGAUGUAAUUAACAGUUAUAUUCUAAUCUCAAUAGUAGCUAAGUACAGACUUAAACAUAAGCCUGUAUAUAACAAAAUAACCCCAGGAGAACCAAAGAAAAUCUAGAAGUUGCUGCUAAAAACAGUUAUGUUAGUGAUACCUAGGAAAGUUUUUUUUCUUUUAACAUGUCAUUGUGGUUUACAAAUGAAAAUUGAGGCCGGGCGUGGUGGCUCACGCCUGUAAUCCCAGCACUUUUGGAGGCCAAGGUGGGCGAAUCACAAGGUCAGGAGUUCAAGACCAGUCUGGCCAACAUGGUGAAACCCCAUCUUUACUAAAAAUACAAAAAAUUAGCUGGGCGUGGUGGUGGGCGCCUGUAAUCUCAGCUACUAGGGAGGCUGAGGAAGGAGAAUCGCUUGAACCUGGGAGGCGGAGGUUGCAGUGAGCCAAGAUCAUGCCACCGCACUCCAGCCUGGGCAACAGUGUGAGACUCCAUCUCAAAACAAACAAACAAACAAAUGAAACAAAUGAAAAUUGAAACUUCACCCAUUUAUGGCUAUUGCCUAAAGAAUUUAUAAAUGCCUGGGUCAUUGCAAGCAUAUUGCUGACAUGUCUCUCGGUCUGCGUUACCCUGGUGG
This is a long non-coding RNA of Homo sapiens (human), 1527 nucleotides long. Ensembl annotates it as long intergenic non-protein coding RNA 3042. NCBI's taxonomy places the organism in Eukaryota, Metazoa, Chordata, Mammalia, Primates, Hominidae. The record is from Ensembl.